This 229-nucleotide unclassified non-coding RNA is filed under the name fungal sp. Its description in RNAcentral is "partial internal transcribed spacer region". The stretch from base 1 to 46 matches the Rfam family "Eukaryotic small subunit ribosomal RNA", at positions 1786 to 1831 of the family's 1831-position model. The record is from RNAcentral. Lineage: Eukaryota; Fungi.
AAGUCGUAACAAGGUUUCCGUAGGUGAACCUGCGGAAGGAUCAUUGCAAAUCAUGGGCUGGGGGGAGGCGUGGUGGUUCAGCGAGCCACUGCGCACCCUCGGCCGACAUUUGGUCGGGACGCUCGUCCUGGAUCAUAUUCACGCUUGUGCUGUUUGACAGAGUAAAGACGCAGUUAAUGAGACAACUUUUAACAAUGGAUCUCUUGGCUCUUGCCCCGAUGAAGAACGC